Molecule: ribosomal RNA, 484 nt
Filed under: uncultured bacterium
Lineage: Bacteria
Description: partial 16S ribosomal RNA
Rfam family: Bacterial small subunit ribosomal RNA
Source: RNAcentral
AUUGAACGCUGGCGGCAUGCUUUUCACAUGCAAGUCGAACGGCAGCGCGGGCUUCGGCCUGGCGGCGAGUGGCGAACGGGUGAGUAAUGCAUCGGAACGUGCCCAGUAGUGGGGGAUAGCCCGGCGAAAGCCGGAUUAAUACCGCAUACGACCUGAGGGUGAAAGCGGGGGACCGAAAGGCCUCGCGCUAUUGGAGCGGCCGAUGUCGGACUAGCUAGUUGGUGGGGUAAAGGCUUACCAAGGCGACGAUCCGUAGCUGGUCUGAGAGGACGACCAGCCACACUGGGACUGAGACACGGCCCAGACUCCUACGGGAGGCAGCAGUGGGGAAUUUUGGACAAUGGGGGCAACCCUGAUCCAGCCAUGCCGCGUGCGGGAAGAAGGCCUUCGGGUUGUAAACCGCUUUUGUUCGGGAAGAAAUCCUCUGGGCUAAUACCCCGGGGGGAUGACGGUACCGGAAGAAUAAGCACCGGCUAACUACGUG